Molecule: long non-coding RNA, 589 nt
Organism: Rhopalosiphum maidis (corn leaf aphid)
Lineage: Eukaryota; Metazoa; Arthropoda; Insecta; Hemiptera; Aphididae
Exons: 5
Source: RefSeq, a predicted model, not a curated record
CAACAUCCUACGUUGAAAAUGGACUAGACGAUACUGAUAAUAAUAAUGGUUUUAUGCAAAAUUGCAGUGCAACAGAUCACUCAACGGUUGCUGAGCAUGAAUUAACAUUUUUAGCGCUUGGAAUAGUUUCAACAUCCUAUGUUUAAUAUGGAUUAGAAGAUUGCAGUACAGCAGAUCUUUCAAGCCAUGAUGAAACAUGAAUUAUCGUUUUUAGCACUUGGGAAAAUUUGGACAUCCCAUGUUGAAAUUUGACUAGACAAUACUGAUAAUAAUAAUAAUAAUAAUGGUAUUUUGCAUGAUUGCAGUACAGCAGAUCUUUCAAGCCAUGAUGAAACAUGAAUUAUGGUUUUUAGCACUUGGGAAAAUUUGGACAUCCCAUGUUGAAAUUUGACUAGACAAUACUGAUAAUAAUAAUAAUAAUAAUGGUAUUUUGCAUGUAUAGCAGAUCUUUCAAGGCUCGCUGAAACCUGAAUUAACAUUUUUACCACAUUGAAAAGUUUCAACAUCCUACAUUUAUAUUGGACUAGAAGAUUCCGAUAAAUCUAAUAAUUUUAUGCAAUUCACUUUUAUUAUUUUAUGGUUAAAUUCA